AGCGCGGCCUUCGGGCUGGCGGCGAGCGGCGAACGGGUGAGUAAUGCAUCGGAACAUGCCCAGUCGUGGGGGAUAACACUUCGAAAGAAGUGCUAAUACCGCAUACGUCCUGAGGGGGAAAGCGGGGGAUCGCAAGACCUCGCGCGAUUGGAGUGGCCGAUGUCAGAUUAGCUAGUUGGUGGGGUAAAGGCCUACCAAGGCGACGAUCUGUAGCUGGUCUGAGAGGAUGAUCAGCCACACUGGGACUGAGACACGGCCCAGACUCCUACGGGAGGCAGCAGUGGGGAAUUUUGGACAAUGGGGGCAACCCUGAUCCAGCCAUUCCGCGUGAGUGAAGAAGGCCUUCGGGUUGUAAAGCUCUUUCGGCAGGAACGAAACGGUGGGCUCUAACAUAUUCCGCUAAUGACGGUACCUGAAGAAGAAGCACCGGNNNNCUACGUGCCAGCAGCCGCGGUAAUACGUAGGGUGCGAGCGUUAAUCGGAAUUACUGGGCGUAAAGCGUGCGCAGGCGGUUGUGUAAGACAGGUGUGAAAUCCCCGGGCUUAACCUGGGAACUGCGCUUGUGACUGCACGGCUAGAGUAUGGCAGAGGGGGGUGGAAUUCCACGUGUAGCAGUGAAAUGCGUAGAGAUGUGGAGGAACACCGAUGGCGAAGGCAGCCCCCUGGGCCAAUACUGACGCUCAUGCACGAAAGCGUGGAGAGCAAACAGGAUUAGAUACCCUGGUAGUCCACGCCCUAAACGAUGUCGACUAGGUGUUCGGUGAGGAGACUCAUUGAGUACCGCAGCUAACGCGUGAAGUCGACCGCCUGGGGAGUACGGUCGCAAGAUUAAAACUCAAAGGAAUUGA
RNAcentral lists this ribosomal RNA (848 nucleotides) under uncultured beta proteobacterium. Its description in RNAcentral is "bacterial SSU rRNA". It matches the Rfam family "Bacterial small subunit ribosomal RNA", at positions 71 to 913 of the family's 1533-position model. Lineage: Bacteria; Pseudomonadati; Pseudomonadota; Betaproteobacteria. The record is from RNAcentral.